GUUGGAUGGGGCAGCAGCAGGGGGUGCUGCGAGGAGUCACUUUCGGGUGUUGGAAGGCAGCAGCAGAGGGCGCUGUGAGGACUCAGUUUGGAGUCUUAAUGUCAUAAACAGAUAGUUAAGGGUUAAUGUCUCUUUUAUCUGUAAAGGGUUAACAAACAGGAAACCAAACACCUGACCAGGGGACCAAUCAGGAGACAAGAUACUUUCAAAUCUUGGUGGAGGGAAGCCUUUGUUUGUGUUUUUUGGGUUUGGCUUUGAUCUCUCUGGGCUCUGAGAGUGACCACACGUACCUACAGGCUCUCUAAUCUUCUAUUCCAAUUUUGAUUUCUCCUUCCCAAGCCUGACCCAAUCACCCGGCUGGAAUGAGAGGAAGAGCCGUGGGUGCCCAAUCUCCAGGCCAGUGAGGAAAGAGGGAUCCCGAGAGGCGCCCACACAGCACAAUGACUUCUGUCUGGAUUGUCUCUCUCCCAGCAGUUGAUGAGAGAGUGAGUGAGAACGAGGAGGGGAAUCAACAGCAGGAAGUUCCUGGGCACGGGGAAUAGCAGGGAACCUCUGUGGGAAGACCCCAUAAGUGCUUCGACUGUGGAAAAAGUUUCAUAUGGAGGUUAACCCUACUUGAUCAUCAGGCAAUCCACACAGGAGAGAAAUCCCAUAAAUGUUUGGACUGUGGGAAAAGUUU
Long non-coding RNA from Gopherus flavomarginatus (Mexican gopher tortoise), 679 nucleotides. RefSeq lists it as uncharacterized. NCBI's taxonomy places the organism in Eukaryota, Metazoa, Chordata, Testudines, Testudinidae. The transcript has 3 exons. The record is from RefSeq and is a predicted model, not a curated record.